This 293-nucleotide long non-coding RNA is filed under the name Brachypodium distachyon (stiff brome). Its description in RNAcentral is "long non-coding RNA (BDIS_LNC004490)". Lineage: Eukaryota; Viridiplantae; Streptophyta; Magnoliopsida; Poales; Poaceae. The record is from RNAcentral.
AAUUUCGAUGAUCUUUGAAAUCCACGUAGGACUGCAUGUGUCAUGAUGGCAAAAAUCAUAAAAAAAAGGUAAAAUUGUGUCAAAAGGUUUUAAAAUAAGAAAAAUAAUGAUUUUAUUUAAAUGGGAUAAAAUGUGUCCCAAACUUUCUUAGAGGGCUAAACUGUGGAUUCAACCGUAAAUAUAAUUAAUAACAUGUACGGAGUACCAAUUAAUUCAAUCUCAAAAACUAAAAUAGCGAAAUUAUAAGGGAAAAACAUUUCGAAUAACCAGUCCCAUGAGGAUAAAACUACAGC